RNAcentral lists this ribosomal RNA (2046 nucleotides) under human gut metagenome. RNAcentral's name for it is "bacterial LSU rRNA". It matches the Rfam family "Bacterial large subunit ribosomal RNA", at positions 11 to 1978 of the family's 2925-position model. The record is from RNAcentral.
CUAAGAGCUAAUGGAGAAUGCCUUGGUACUGACAGCCGACGAAGGACGUGUAAAGCUGCGAUAAGCUACGGGGAGUUGCUAAAAGACCUUGAUCCGUAGAAAUCCGAAUGGGGAAACCCUGCAAGGUUAAAACCUUGUAAUCCACAUAUGAAUACAUAGUAUGUGCGAAGGAAAGCCUGUGAACUGAAACAUCUUAGUAACAGGACGAAAAGAAAAUAAAUCAAUGAUUCCGAAAGUAGCGGCGAGCGAAAUUGGAAGAGCCUAAACAGUAUGUACGUGAUAGACUGCAAUCGUUGUGCAUAUUGAGUUGUGGGACUUACGGUAUAAUUUGCAGAUUAUACAAAGAGUUACAAAAUUAUUUAUUAGCUAAAUCCAACUGGGAAGUUGAGCCAUAGCGGGUGAUAGCCCCUUAAGCGACAAUAAAUAAUCUCUUGUAAGUAUCCCGAGUAAGGCGGGGCACGUGAAACCCUGUCUGAAUCCACCGGGACCAUCCGGUAAGGCUAAAUACUAGUCAGUGACCGAUAGUGAACGAGUACAGUGAUGGAAAGGCGAAAAGAACAGUGAGAAGCUGAGUGAAAUAGACCCUGAAACCGUUAGCUUACAAUCAGUUAGAGCCCUAUAAAUAGGGUGAUAGCGUGCCUGUUGAAGAAUGAGCCGGCGAGUUAUUUUAUGUUGCAAGGUUAAGGAGUUAACAUCCGGAGCCCCAGCGAAAGCGAGUUUGAAAAGAGCGUUAAGUAACAUGAAAUAGACCCGAACCUUGGUGAUCUAACCUUGACCAGGAUGAAGCGUGGGUAACACUACGUGGAGGUCCGAACCGACUGAUGUUGAAAAAUCAGCGGAUGAGUUGAGGUUAGGGGUGAAAUGCCAAUCGAACCAAGAGCUAGCUGGUUCUCCCCGAAAUGCGUUUAGGCACAGCGUCAGAAUUAUCUUACAGGAGGUAGAGCACUGGUUUUGUGCGGGCGGCGAAAUGCUGUACCAAACAAUGUCAAACUCCGAAUGCCUGUAAAGUUACUAUCUGGCAGUGAGGCUACGAGUGAUAAGAUCCGUGGCCAAGAGGGAAACAGCCCAGAACGCCAGUUAAGGUCCCUAAUAUAUGCUAAGUGGUUAAGGAGGUAGAGUUGCAUUGACAACCAGGAGGUUGGCUUAGAAGCAGCCAUCCCUUGAAAGAGUGCGUAAUAGCUCACUGGUCAAGCGACUCCGCGCCGAAAAUACACCGGGACUCAAGCAUAUAACCGAAGCUGCGUCAUUUGAGUUUACUCAGAUGGGUAGGGGAGCGUUCUGUUGUAGGACGAAGUAAGAUCGAAAGGACUUAUGGACGAAGCAGAAGUGAGAAUGUCGGCAUAAGUAGCGAAAACAUUGGUGAGAAUCCAAUGCACCGUAAACCUAAGGUUUCCCCUGGCAGGCUCGUCCGCAGGGGGUUAGUCGGAACCUAAGAUGAGGCCGAAAGGCGUAGUCGAUGGACAUCAGGUUGAUAUUCCUGAACUAUCUGGUAAUCGUUAUCAGAUGCGGAGGGACGCAGGAGGAUAGGCACGCAGCCGACUGGAAGAGGCUGUUUAAGCGUGUAGCUAGUUUGAGUAGGAAAAUCCGCUCAGGCGUUAUGACGUGAGGCGUAAUGAGGAGAGUCUACGGACUCGAAGGUGUUGACUCCACACUGCCAAGAAAAACUUCGCACUCGAGAUUAUCCGGUAUCCGUACCGUAAACCGCCACAGGUAGGUUAGUAGAACAUACUAAGGUGCGCGAGACAACUCUCGCUAAGGAACUCGGCAAAAUCACCUCGUAACUUCGGGAGAAGAGGUACCCUGGUAGAGUGAAGCGAUUUACUCGUGGAGCUUGAUAGGGUCGCAGUGAAUUGGCCCAUGCGACUGUUUACCAAAAACACAGGUCUCUGCUAAGUCGAACAAGACGAUGUAUAGGGGCUGACGCCUGCCCGGUGUCGGAAGGUUACGUGGAAGGGUUAGUAGUAAUACGAAGCUCUGAAACUAAGCCCCGAUGAACGGCGGCCGUAACUAUAACGGUCCUAAGGUAGCGAAAUUCCUUGUCAGGUA